GACGUAGGGCGCGAGCGUUGUCCGGAUUUAUUGGGCGUAAAGAGCUCGUAGGCGGUUUGUCACGUCGGGUGUGAAAACACGGGGCUUAACCCCGUGCCUGUUUCCGAUACGGGCAGACUAGAGGUAUGCAGGGGAGAACGGAAUUCCUGGUGUAGCGGUGAAAUGCGCAGAUAUCAGGAGGAACACCGGUGGCGAAGGCGGUUCUCUGGGCAUUACCUGACGCUGAGGAGCGAAAGUGUGGGGAGCGAACAGG
This 253-nucleotide ribosomal RNA is filed under the name uncultured bacterium. RNAcentral's name for it is "partial 16S ribosomal RNA". It matches the Rfam family "Bacterial small subunit ribosomal RNA", at positions 524 to 776 of the family's 1533-position model. The record is from RNAcentral.